UGGGGAAUAUUGGACAAUGGANCAAGAGUCUGAUCCAGCAAUUCUGUGUGCACGAUGAAGUUNUUCUGAAUGUAAAGUGCUNUCAGCUGGGAAGAAAAUAAAUGACGGUACCCACAGAAGAAGUGAUGGCUAAAUACGUCCCAGCAGCCGCGGUAAUACGUAUGUCACAAGCGUUAUCCGGAUUUAUUGGGCGUAAAGUGCGUCUAGGUGGUUAUGUAAGUCUGAUGUGAAAAUGCAGGGCUCAACUCUGUAUUGCGUUGGAAACUGUAUAACUAGAGUACUUGAGAGGUAAGCGGAACUACAAGUGUAGAGGUGAAAUUCGUAGAUAUUUGUAGGAAUGCCGAUGGGGAAGCCAGCUUACUGGACAGAUACUGACGCUGAAGCGCGAAAGCGUGGGUAGCAAACAGGAUUAGAUACCCUGGUAGUCCAUGCCGUAAACGAUGACUACUAGGUGUUGGGGGUCGAACCUCAGCGCCCAAGCAAACGCGAUAAGUAAUCCGCCUGGGGAGUACGUACGCAAGUAUG
RNAcentral lists this ribosomal RNA (525 nucleotides) under uncultured bacterium. RNAcentral's name for it is "bacterial SSU rRNA". It matches the Rfam family "Bacterial small subunit ribosomal RNA", at positions 355 to 896 of the family's 1533-position model. The record is from RNAcentral.